This is a long non-coding RNA of Cloeon dipterum, 1724 nucleotides long. RefSeq lists it as uncharacterized. Lineage: Eukaryota; Metazoa; Arthropoda; Insecta; Ephemeroptera; Baetidae. The record is from RefSeq and is a predicted model, not a curated record. The transcript is spliced from 3 exons.
GUGCCACGAAAUGAAUUUCCUGCUGACAUUUCUCCUGCUCAACACCACCUUUUCGUGGUCGAAUUGUGCUUCCGUUGAGUUUGAGAACAUGUCCGAAGACAACUGGCAACUGCUCAUCGGCGCAAAUUCAAAGGAACUGAAAUACGACUUUUGCAAGUAUAACGCGACAAGCGACGGAACACAGUGCACAAAUUUUGAAAAGUUCGCCUCAACAGACAUUGGCGAGGUGUGCAAUUGCUCCGUCCAACACACAAAAACCAAAGCUGGCUCCUUCACUUUCAGCGUCAACUGCCUCAGCAAUUCAAGUUGGUGCCCCAAGAAUCUGCUCAUUCAAUACCAGCAAGGCCCCUCCGAAAAGCCAUCACACGCUGAAGGAAUUUCAGCUUCCAAACAAGACCAGAUUAACUUUCCGUACUUGUCCUUGCCCCUUGUUGUCCUCGUUUGUUUGAUUGUGGGAGUGUUAGUCAAGUACCGAGAGCAAGUGCGUUCUUAUUGCACUGAAAAGAGGCGUCAAUACGACAACGGGUCUUCAAAUGAACAAAACCGUGAAGAAGAUCAAAGAGCUGAACAGUCAGUCGCUUUCCAGGAUUUUCCAAGUGCGUCUUUCGUCCGACCCGUCCAACUCCCGAAAUUUAACAUGGUUCUUUUUCGACUUGAUUAUUGGGUGUGAAGAAUGGACAUCAAUUUCACUAUGAAUGACGGUGAAUAUUGAUAUGAUAUAAUACUCUAUUAUAAUAAUGAUAUUCUCAGAGCACCAUGUAUUAAAAAUGCAAUCUCACCGCUGACUUGCAAAGUGAAUAAAAAUUAAGAACAAAUAAUCAAUAAUUUAAACAAUUUAUAAAAGGAUAAUCAAAUUAAUUUAAUUUAAUCACAAAAAUAUCUAUAGUUUACUCUCGCGUCGAGUUUUGCUGCUCGUUGCUGCUGCUGCAUGCCGCGCACUCUCAAUUUUAGCUUUGUCAGCUGCUCUCUUUCUCUCCUCUCAGCUCAUUUAGUUAUUAAUGAGGAAUCAAGACUGUGAAAUUACACAAAUAAUCAAAAUCACAUUUAAUCAUCACAAAAUUGAGCGUUCAAAAUUUUAAUUAUGCUAUUUUUUGGCGAGAAACAAACGAAAGCGCGCAGCUGGAGCGAUUUAGUUCUUUAAUUCUAGCUGACUGCUUGCAUUGCGAUUGGAGGCUCCUAACGAGGCACGGAGGCGCACACCAAACCAGCGUUAAAAAGGGAAAGCGGAGCACAAUGAACCCUCGGAACGUGAGGCAGGGAGAAGAAAGGGAUGAGGGUGCUGCAACUGUGACCCGCGGCAACUGUGCCCUAUGUUAAAAUGGUGGGAAGAGAAGGAGUGUGGCAUCAGGGUUUCGUCUUUAGGGAGGGUCUUUCGAGGGUGGUUGUGGCCUAAAUAUAUUGCUACUUUAAAUAAAAAAAUUUGCUUACAAUAUCGUUGAUUUCCUGCUUAAUUCGCAUCGUAUAUAUUUAAAAUGUGUGUUGAUAUCAAGAUAAUAACGUGACAAUCGAGUCUGCCCUUAUUGUUAGUUAAUUAAAUUCUGAAAAUUUUACUUAGGGCACAAUUGCCGCGAGUCACAGUUGCCGUUCACUCGCUUCAACUGUGACCGCGAGACGAGCUUGCAACGCAGCAUCCCUCGAGGGUGUUGUGCAUCAAAAGGGGACGCGCUGCUUCACAAUUAAAAAAGUCGCUCGCAGGUCAAACUUUUCCUUUGCAGCCGACCGCU